CUUCGAACGUCAGGGAUCCUUUUCCCCCAUCGUAUCCUGACCGAGGCCCCACAAAUCGAUGAAACCAUGGGAUAUCAGUACUCCAAUCGACCAUCCGCGUAACACAGUUCACCGUUCACAGCAAUCGCAGAGAGACGGGAGUGGAGCAGGGCGGGGGGAGGAAUGGUCUCUGCGUUGAACAAGGAAUGGGCAAGGUGGGAAAAGGGCGUUUCCACACUUGAAGGGGAAAAAACGUUGAAAAUAAUGCGAUGAAAUGCGCAUACCUAUGUGCAGAGGACCUAUGUACUGUACGUCCGCAAGGGAGAUAGAUGGAUUUGAAAGUGGCAUAUACAUCAGGCGGCUAAUCUCAGCCAUCUCUCCCUUCAAUCUGCCAAGGGCAAAAAUGGUGGCAACUAGCCGGUGCCCCUGAGCACCAUCGGCGAGCCCACCGGGAGGCGAAAGAAUGACGGCUUCUGCGAGGAUUAUUGCCGAAUCAAGCGCAAGCGGCCAUCAGCGAGCGUUUCGUUUGACAGCACAAAUUUUCGCCGGUUUGUUUCACAAUAAGCGUGUCCUGGGAGUGGGGAAAGUCGGAGAAUCAUAGUGCAAGCACCGGAAAAUUUCCCAAUGUUACUUUCGCAGUCGAUGAAUGUACGGGGUCAAUAAUGAGAGAAUGGGAUAUGGAGGUUGUUGGCUUUUGUUCAGUACAUGCGAUGAGCUGGAGCUUCUUCAGAGCUCCAAACCUGAGCUUGGACAUCUGAAGUCUUGUAAUAAUCAUUGAGAUUGCUCAAGGGUCCACCACUGUUACCAAGAAAUCUUGCCGUGUGCAGUACAUCAUCAUCAUACGUAAUAGUGUUCGAAAGGCAUGAAUCAGACCGUUCGUCGGAACUUGGCGGCAAUUCUACGAGAUAUACCUAUUUUUAAUUUUUAGAUAUGGACAGACACUGACAUGCCUGUGCAUGCAUGGGUGGACGAUACAGUGUUUGUUACAUACAAUGUACACGUCCAACAGGCUAUUUCCUUGAGGAUUGCAGGAAUGAACGGAAACGAAUGUAAGUGAGAACCUUGGAAUAUUAAUUAUUAAUGACGAUAAUUCAGGAAGCAAAAAUGGUUCAAGUGAAACUCGCAGAGAAAUGAUGAAAAAAGAGCAAUCUGAUGGACAGGAGGAAUGGACCAAAAAUACCUGUCCACACCUG
This 1172-nucleotide small RNA is filed under the name Histoplasma ohiense. Its description in RNAcentral is "hypothetical lncRNA". Lineage: Eukaryota; Fungi; Ascomycota; Eurotiomycetes; Onygenales; Ajellomycetaceae. The record is from RNAcentral.